UCUCCGUUGGUGAACCAGCGGAGGGAUCAUUAUCGAGUUUAUAACUCCCAAACCCUAUGUGAACUUACCACUUGUUGCUUCGGCGCGCGGUUCGGCGCCGCCGAGGACACUUAAACUCUUUGUUUUUAUAAGCAUUUCUGAGUGGCCGAAAGGCAAAAUACAAAUGAAUCAAAACUUUCAACAACGGAUCUCUUGGUUCUG
This 201-nucleotide unclassified non-coding RNA is filed under the name plant metagenome. RNAcentral describes it as "partial contains small subunit ribosomal RNA, internal transcribed spacer 1, and 5.8S ribosomal RNA". The record is from RNAcentral.